GUCGUUUAAAAAUUGGUCUCUGUAUUCGCUAAUCCUUGCAAAUUAGUCUUGCAUUCUUUAAUCAUUUAAAAUUUCGUCCAUUGACCCAGUUAAUCGCUGCCCCGUCAUCAAAUUAGCAAAAUGGGAUGGGAAUGGACAAAAAUACCCUCUUCUUCUUUCACCUUCAUCUCUUUCUCUCCUUCCUCUUAUCAUCAACAACCACCUUAACAGCAGCAAAAACAUCAACCACUGUUGAAGGUGUUGUUACUCUUACUCAAGAAAACCAAGGUGACCCUCAAACUAGUAAAACCUUCGAUUGAACAUUCUGAUUACAUUAAAAUCACAAAAUUGCAUUAAAACAUGAUUAACAUAGAUUCAGUAACCAAUUUUUUUUCAAUACCCGUAACAAUUCAAAUCAAGUAAACAUACAAAACUUGUUCUGUACAGAGAAUAAACAAUUCGCAAUUGAAUGCUACCCAGAAGCUAGUUUUUGAAGAAACCUAGUUAAAACAAAACAACAGCGUGAUAUGAUACAACACUAAUUACUCUCUUGCUUUCAUCUCUACAAUGAAGAAGCCAUAUUCAUCUUGCUUUUAUAUCUACAAACAGCCACAAAACAGUGGUGGAGAUUGUUGUCAUCAAUGAAAACACACAAACUCUGAUUCAGCAAUAUAUACCCAUUCAGCAAUAUCCCGACAAGCUAAACUCAUUCAUCAAUAUAAACCCAUUCUCAAUUUCAGAACCACAACAAGAAAUAAUUAACAAGAAGCUAAACCCAGGUCAAAGGAUCGAUGUGAAUAUCUUUUGUGGCGACGCCGUCGGUGAAAGAAGGAUUUGAAUUAGCGACGCAUUCAUCGGGUCGAGAAGUGAUACCGAAUGAGUUUGCUUCGAUUAAGAAAUAUGAAGAAGAAUGGAAGAGUAAGAAGAAGAAGGGAAUCAGUUGCAGAGAAGAGAAGAGAAGAGGAGGGUUUCACGUUUUGAAGAAGACAAAGGAGGGGUAAAUUUGUCUAUUUCCAUGUCGUUUUGCUAAUCAACAGUGCCACAUCAUCAAAUUAAUGACGUGUCAGUCAUUAACUGGAUCAAAGGAUGAAAUUUUAAAUAAUUAAAGAAUGUAAGACUAAUUUGCAAAAAUUAGCGGUUACACGACUCCUAAUAGCAAGGAUUAUUUAAGUCAUUUCCCUUUUACCCAAAACUACUAUAAGGGGUUGAUGUGGAAAAGAGACACAAAU
This 1208-nucleotide long non-coding RNA is filed under the name Medicago truncatula (barrel medic). RNAcentral describes it as "long non-coding RNA (MTRU_LNC005424)". Lineage: Eukaryota; Viridiplantae; Streptophyta; Magnoliopsida; Fabales; Fabaceae. The record is from RNAcentral.